RNAcentral lists this ribosomal RNA (397 nucleotides) under uncultured bacterium. RNAcentral describes it as "partial 16S ribosomal RNA". It matches the Rfam family "Bacterial small subunit ribosomal RNA", at positions 523 to 918 of the family's 1533-position model. The record is from RNAcentral.
AUACGUAGGGGGCGAGCGUUGUCCGGAAUGAUUGGGCGUAAAGGGCGCGUAGGCGGCCCGGUAAGUCUGGAGUGAAAGUCCUGUUUUUAAGAUGGGAAUUGCUUUGGAUACUGUCGGGCUUGAGUGCAGGAGAGGUAAGUGGAAUUCCCAGUGUAGCGGUGAAAUGCGUAGAGAUUGGGAGGAACACCAGUGGCGAAGGCGACUCACUGGACUGUAACUGACGCUGAGGCGCGAAAGUGUGGGGAGCAAACAGGAUUAGAUACCCUGGUAGUCCACACUGUAAACGAUGAAUGCUAGGUGUAGGGGGUAUCGACCCCUUCUGUGCCGCAGUCAACACAAUAAGCAUUCCGCCUGGGGAGUACGGCCGCAAGGUUGAAACUCAAAUGAAUUGGCGGGG